This is a long non-coding RNA of Oncorhynchus kisutch (coho salmon), 1966 nucleotides long. The record is from Ensembl. NCBI's taxonomy places the organism in Eukaryota, Metazoa, Chordata, Actinopteri, Salmoniformes, Salmonidae.
GGUUUGGUCUGAAAGAGGGGAAUGAAGAUCACACUUUCACCUGUACUCUUUGUGUCUGUGCUGUGUAUAGAAUUGAUGUAUAUCCAACACUUUGUUUACUCAGACCCUAGCACUGUAGAACCUGCUGUUUUCUCACUGGGUAACCCCAGUGGAGAUCAUUAUGACAGCAGGGUUCCAAGACACAUGCACCCAGGUACUUGACUUCUGAAUAUCAAUUCACUGCAUUUUGUUCGUUUGACAAGUGCAAUGUACUUGUCUGUUUUUAACGUGAAGCUCUUUUAUAGCCAACUGACAAAUUGCAUAAUUAAGAUUUGUUUUUGUAAAGCUGUAAGGAAUAAUUAAAGGAUACAGUUACUAUGUUUUAAUUGGUGAACUUGCUAUAUGGCUGAUGUGGUUCAUGAUUUGGGCGUGUUACAUACAGGGUUGGGUAGGUUACUUUCUAAAUGUAAUCCAUUACCUGUCCAAAAUUGUAAUCAGUAACAUAACUUUUGGUUGACCCAAACUCAGUAACGUAAUCUGAUUACAUUUAGUUACUUUUAGAUUGCUUUACCCUUUUAAGAGGCAUUAGAAAAAUGAAAAAGGCAUGUUACCAAUUGAACAACAUCUAUUGCAGGAUAAAUCAAUGUAAAAGUUUACAUAGCUGGUCAUAUAUGGAUGUUAAAUAUUACUUUAUGGGUUGGUUAUGUAAGCUUAUUCUAACAUAUAAUAGCACGAUUAAAUUAUAUCUUUAUAUUAAAAAACUCCAGAAAAAAUUCCAGUCAUUCCAAUAAAUGUUAUACCCCUUGAUCUUCAAGAAUAGGACCUGGAAAUAUGGAAGUAUAGAUUAGCCAAAUUAUUUUACCUGAGCAUGUCAUCUUCCCUCGAGCGCCAGGCUGCCCUGCAGUACGCAUUCCUGCCACCAUCAUUUACGCACACCUGCCUUCCCUCGUCACACUCUUCAGCGAUAUUGGACUCACUCAAUCACCUGUUUAUUACCUCUCCUAUAUUUGUCAGUUCCCUGCUCUGUUCCCGCUGCUGCAUUGUUGUCAUAUGUCCGUGUUUCCUGUGUGCUGACGCUGUUCCUGUCUUGUUCUAUGUCUGUUCCCGAAUAAAUGUCCGACUCCCCGUACCUGCUUCUCCUGUCCGGCGUCGGUCCUUACAGAGCAUAACCCAAAAACUAAGGACUAAUUAGCAUAACCCAAAAACUAAUUAGCCAGGUCUACUCUGUUGUUUAUGAUUUUGUCGUCAUGGAGGAGUGAUUUGGCUCAUUGAUUCGAGUUGAAAAAUAAAUGCUGCACUCAUGUGCUGCACUCAUGGAAUGGUAUGCUUUGAGCACUACUGAAAAGUGCUAUUUACAUGUGAAAAAUGAAUGCCAUAUGUGCAUUUGCUAAUGCCACAUUUUGCCUUGGUGACAGCUUUGCACACUCUUGGCAUUCUCUCAACCAGCUUCACCUGGAAUGAUUUUCCAACAGUCUUGAAGGAGACCGUCUAAAAGGGGACCGUCUUAAAACAGUUAAACCAAAGGGAAAGUUUUGGGAUUUACAAACUACAGGCCACUAAAUACCCUGGUUUAAAUGAAGAUAUGGAUUUCUCACCCUUACUGUAGGGUCGUGAUGGGUCCAUUUGCUGUCAUCUAGUGGACAUUUUGCUCAAUUGCCCUCAGCUAUGUUUAGACUGUUGUUGUUCAUGUUUUGCUGUGUUCUAGUGUACUAUGGAAUAUAUUGCUUUCUUAUUCUUGACACCUCUCCCAGUCAUAAAGGUUGGAACUACCUUUUAGUAUCCUGAUACUUCUAGCUUGGGGUUCUAUAUUUAUGAUAACAUAGCUACAGUAUUUCACCUUUUAUUGUGUAUAAGAUUGCUUACUAGGUGUGUCCAAUCAAUUUAGUAACCACUCCCUCUUCCAAUUAGGGCUAAUUGGAAAAGCUGUUCAAAAGAGGACAUUGUAUUCCUUUUUUUUGUGUUUUUUUUUGUACCUGCUGACGAAGGC